AGAGUGGCGAACGGGUGAGUAACGCGUGAAGAACCUGCCUUCGAGAGGGGGAUAACACUCCCAACGGGGUGCUAAUACCGCAUGAGACCACGGGUCCACCUGGACCUGAGGUCAAAGGUGGCCUCUGCUUGCAAGCUACCACUCGAAGAUGGCUUCGCGUCCCAUUAGCUAGUUGGCGGUGUAACGGACCACCAAGGCGACGAUGGGUAGCUGGUCUGAGAGGAUGGUCAGCCACACUGGGACUGAGAUACGGCCCAGACUCCUACGGGAGGCAGCAGUCGAGAGGCUUUGGCAAUGGGGGAAACCCUGACCAAGCGACGCCGCGUGGAGGAUGAAGGCCCUUGGGUUGUAAACUCCUUUUGCUGGGGAAGAAGUGCGACCAGGUGAACAAUCUGGCCGUUUGACGGUACCCAGCGAAUAAGCUCCGGCUAACUCCGUGCCAGCAGCCGCGGUAACACGGGGGGAGCAAGCGUUGUUCGGAAUCACUGGGCGUAAAGGGCGUGUAGGCGGUCAGGUAAGUGGGAUGUGAAAUGCCCCGGCUCACCCGGGGACCGGCAUCCCAAACUGCCUGGCUUGAGUAUGGGAGAGGAUGGAGGAAUUCCUGGUGUAGCGGUGAAAUGCGUAGAUAUCAGGAGGAACACCGGUGGCGAAGGCGUCCAUCUGGCCCAAUACUGACGCUGAGGCGCGAAAGCUAGGGGAGCGAACGGGAUUAGAUACCCCGGUAGUCCUAGCCGUAAACGGUGAUCACUAGGUGUUGGGGGCAUCGACCCCUCCAGUGCCGCAGCUAACGCACUAAGUGAUCCGCCUGGGGAGUACGGCCGCAAGGUUGAAACUCAAAGGAAUUGACGGGGGCCCGCACAAGCGGUGGAGCAUGUGGUUCAAUUCGACGCAACGCGAAGAACCUUACCCAGGCUUGAC
This 918-nucleotide ribosomal RNA is filed under the name uncultured bacterium. RNAcentral's name for it is "bacterial SSU rRNA". It matches the Rfam family "Bacterial small subunit ribosomal RNA", at positions 92 to 985 of the family's 1533-position model. The record is from RNAcentral.